This 439-nucleotide ribosomal RNA is filed under the name uncultured bacterium. RNAcentral describes it as "partial 16S ribosomal RNA". It matches the Rfam family "Bacterial small subunit ribosomal RNA", at positions 339 to 795 of the family's 1533-position model. The record is from RNAcentral.
CUACGGGAGGCUGCAGUAGGGAAUAUUGGACGAUGGGCGAAAGCCUGAUCCAGCAACACCGCGUGCACGAUGACGGCCUUCGGGUUGUAAAGUGCUUUUAGAGGAGAUGAGAAAGGACAGUAUCCUCUGAAUAAGCCUCGGCGAACUACGUGCCAGCAGCCGCGGUAAAACGUAGGAGGCAAGCGUUAUCCGGAUUUAUUGGGCGUAAAGCGCGUGCAGGCGGUCUAACAAGUUGGAUGUGAAAGCUCCCGGCUCAACUGGGAGAGGUCGUUCAAUACUGUUAGACUAGAGAAUAGAGAGGGAGGUGGAAUUCCGGGUGUAGUGGUGAAAUGCGUAGAUAUCCGGAGGAACACCAGUGGCGAAAGCGGCCUCCUGGACUAUUUCUGACGCUAAGACGCGAAAGCUAGGGUAGCAAACGGGAUUAGAUACCCGUGUAGUC